This 438-nucleotide ribosomal RNA is filed under the name Eugerdella sp. RNAcentral describes it as "partial 16S ribosomal RNA". It matches the Rfam family "Bacterial large subunit ribosomal RNA", at positions 1927 to 2598 of the family's 2925-position model. The record is from RNAcentral. Lineage: Eukaryota; Metazoa; Arthropoda; Malacostraca; Isopoda; Desmosomatidae.
AUAGCCGCAGUACACUGACUGUGCUAAGGUAGCAUAAUAAUUUGUCUUUUAAUUAAAGACCGGUAUAAACGGAAAAACGACUAAUCAUCUUUUUUUAAGUAUAUUAUUGAAAUUGAUAUUUGCUUAAAAAAGAGCAACUACUUAAGAAGACGAUAAGACCCCGUGAAACUUUACCUUUAAGUUUAACUAUCAUUUAGUAAAUAAUUAAAUUUUAAGGUUAAGCUGGGGCGGCAAUAAAUCACACCUUUAGAAAAAUAACACUAAUUAAUGAUUAUUUAGAUCUUUGUAAGAGCUAGAACAAGUUACUCCGGGGAUAACAGCACAAUUCUUUCAGAGAGAUCUUAUCAAAGAAAGAGACUUGUGACCUCGAUGUUGAAUUGAAGGGCCAAAUCUAAGCAAAAAUAGAUUUUGGGGGUCUGUUCGACCUUUAAUUCUUCA